This 299-nucleotide signal recognition particle RNA is filed under the name Saimiri boliviensis boliviensis (Bolivian squirrel monkey). RNAcentral's name for it is "Metazoan signal recognition particle RNA (ENSSBOG00000001801.1)". It matches the Rfam family "Metazoan signal recognition particle RNA". From Rfam's summary of the family: The signal recognition particle (SRP) is a universally conserved ribonucleoprotein. It is involved in the co-translational targeting of proteins to membranes. The record is from RNAcentral. Lineage: Eukaryota; Metazoa; Chordata; Mammalia; Primates; Cebidae.
GCCGGGCCUGGUGGGGCAUGCCUGUAGUCCCAGCUACUCAGGAGGCUGAGGUGGGAAGAUCGCUUGAGCCCAGGAGUUCUGGGCUGUAAUGCGCUAUACUGACCGGGUGUCCGCACUAAGUUCGGCAUCAAUAUGGUGACCUCCCAGGAGCGGGCGACCACCAGGCUGCCUAAGGAGGGGUGAACCGGCCCAGGUCAGAAACAGAGCAGGUCAAAACUCCUGUGCUGAUCAGUAGUGGGAUCGCGCCUGUGAAUAGCCACUGCACUCCAGCCUGGGCAAUAUAGCGAGACCCUGUCUCU